This 460-nucleotide ribosomal RNA is filed under the name uncultured bacterium. RNAcentral's name for it is "partial 16S ribosomal RNA". It matches the Rfam family "Bacterial small subunit ribosomal RNA", at positions 338 to 795 of the family's 1533-position model. The record is from RNAcentral.
CCUACGGGAGACAGCAGUGAGGAAUAUUGGUCAAUGGACGAGAGUCUGAACCAGCCAAGUAGCGUGAAGGAUGACUGCCCUAUGGGUUGUAAACUUCUUUUAUAUGGGAAUAAAAUGUUCCACGUGUGGGAUUUUGUAUGUACCAUAUGAAUAAGGAUCGGCUAAAUCCGUGCCAGCAGCCGCGGUAAUACGGAGGAUCCGAGCGUUAUCCGGAUUUAUUGGGUUUAAAGGGAGCGUAGGUGGAUUGUUAAGUCAGUUGCGAAAGUUUGCGGCUCAACCGUAAAAUUGCAGUUGAAACUGGCAUUCUUGAGUACAGUAGAGGUGGGCGGAAUUCUGGGUGUAGCGGUGAAAUGCUUAGAUAUCACGAAGAACUCCGAUUGCGAAGGCAGCUCACUGGACUGCAACUGACACUGAGGCUCGAAAGUGUGGGUAUCAAACAGGAUUAGAUACCCGGGUAGUC